UUAGUUGUCUGAAAGCCGGUCUUGAGCAAGGAAGUUUUUCGCUGAUCUUUUUUUCUUUUCUGGACUUGUUUAUUUCCUGAAGCAAUGGCGUUUGAUACGGAAAGGUUCAUAAUUGAAAUUCAUAAUCGGCAGUCAAUAUGGGACUCAUCAUCUUGAAAAUUCAAACAGUGAACAGUGAUUAUUCAAAUCGCGACUUAAAAAAGAAGAGUUGGGAAGAAAUGGUAGAUAUUUUUGGAGGUACAGAACUCCAUAAUAUUAGCGUAAAGAAAGACUUGGGUCAAUCACUGCAAAAAAAAAUGGAAAGGUUUGAGAUCAUGCUAUACUCGAGAAGUGAGAAGAUUAAAACAAAAAAAGUCUGGGUCUGGAGCUGAUCGAAAAAGCGAGUACUUGUAUUUUAGGCAGUUACAGUUUCUACAAAAAGUUACCGCUAUUAGAGAAAAGCUAGAACAGGAUGAGCAAGUUGAUCAGGAGCAGGUUUCUGAAGGUGGCGAAGUGUUAGUUGAUCGAUCGGCAAAAAGACCAUAAAAAAGAAAAUUAGGCACGCAGCUCGAAAAAGAAAAUGACCCGUUAAUACUAACACUACAAAAAUCCAUAGAUUCUCGCGAGCGUCAGUUACAAGAAGAAUCUGAUGAGGAUCGCAUGUUUCUCUUAUCCCUUCUUGGCUCUUUAAAAAGGGUACCUGAGGAGAGGAAAAUGGCAACCAAGAUCAAAAUAUUAACAAUUUUAAAUGAAGAUACAGAGAAUACAUGCAGAAAUUCUAGCUUUCAACACAAUAAUAUUUCAAAGACAUAUGAUUACGGGUACUUAACUCAGUCCAAUUCUCAAUCAACUAAUCAACGGCCAACGACAUUACAUCAAAGCUAUUAAGGACACCAAAGUUUCCAACAGCGCUCGACUACAACCCCAACAUUACCGACAGAUUCGCCAUCAGUCCAACAAAUGACAAGUCAAGAAGCCGUACAACCGUUAUAUCAAAAGCCCUCAAUACCGCAUGGCUACCAAUCAGGUCAUCAUCAAACUCAGUUUACUCAGCCGCUCUUAUCUCCUACCGAUUCUAUUCACUCUCAAUCAGACAUAUCACAAGCUGGUUCACACUCAACUAAUUCUGAGAGUAUGAUAGAACUUUUUAAUCUUUAGUGUUGCUUCAAUCAUGUACAUUGCCUAAUUAUUUGAUUUUUUACUUAACUACUUUAACCAAACCUUUUGAUAUUUAGAAUUUUUGAAUAAAGAUGUUACAAGUAUA
Molecule: long non-coding RNA, 1243 nt
Organism: Anthonomus grandis grandis
Lineage: Eukaryota; Metazoa; Arthropoda; Insecta; Coleoptera; Curculionidae
Exons: 2
Source: RefSeq, a predicted model, not a curated record